Molecule: long non-coding RNA, 1116 nt
Filed under: Ornithorhynchus anatinus (platypus)
Lineage: Eukaryota; Metazoa; Chordata; Mammalia; Monotremata; Ornithorhynchidae
Description: lncRNA (ENSOANG00000030924.2)
Source: RNAcentral
AUGGAUGUACCCGAUGACUCCUCUGCCGCCCGCCUGCUAUCCCUCCUCGACUCUGCCAACCUCCUGCUCCACCAUACAGCGCCCACUCACCGACUUGGUCACACCCUUGAUCUCAUCAUCUCCUACCACUGCACUAUCUCCUCCCUCACCAACUCUGAAAUCCCUCUCUCUGACCAUAACCUUCUCACCUGCCUCAUCUCUCACACUCCCUCCCCCUGCAAACCUUUGCUACUCCCCCACAGAGACCUCCGCUCUCUUGAUCCCAUCCAUCUUUCCAAAAGCAUCUCUUCCCACCUUGCCGCCCUGUCCUCACUUCCCACUCUCGAUGAUCAGGUCUCCACUCUCAGCUCCACCCUCUCUACUCAUCUCAACUCUCUCACCCCUCUUUCUCUCCGCCGCUCUUGCUCCACUAACCCACAGCCCUGGAUCACCUCCUCUGUCUGCCUCCUACGCGGGUAUGCUCGACCUGCCGAAUGCUGCUGGCGAAAGACCAAGCACCAAGCUGACCUCAUACAUUUCACAUUUAUCCUUCCCUGCCUUAACUCUGCCCUCUCCUCCACCAGGCAAAACUUCUUCUCCUCCCUCAUCGACACCCAUGCCCAUCACCCCCGCCAAUUUUUCCAGACCUUUAACUCUCUCCUUAGGCCCCCUGUUCCUCCCUCUCCCCCAUCUCUCACCCCCAGUGAUCUGGCCACCUACUUCAUUCCAAAAAUCAACACAAUCAGGUCUGAGCUCCCCAAAGUCACCCCUCCCUCCCCUCCCCCCCCACCAACCCUCUCCCCUACUUUCCCAUCCUUCCCUGCAGUAUCCUCAGAGGAGAUCUCCUCCCUCCUUUCAAGUGCCACCCCCUCCACCUGCACCUCGGACCCCAUUGACGCUCACCUUCUUAAAACCAUCGCCCCUGCCCUCCUCCCUUCCUUAACUUCUAUCUCUCUUAACCUCUCAAUCUCCAAUGGCUCCUUCCCCUCUGCCUUCAAACAUGCCCAUGUCUCCCCCAUCCUAAAAAAACCCUCUCUCAACCCCACUUCCCCUUCCAGUCAUCCCUAUCUCCCUACUACCCUUCCUUUCCAAAAUCCUAGAACGAGUCGUCUACACUCGCUGCUUAGAAUUCCUUAA